AAGGACAUAGAGCUAUCCAUGAGAGAAUCCUGGUCUAGGUAGAAAGACCACACUUGCGAAAGAGAUUGUCCUUGCUAGGGAAAUAGCCGCUGAAUCCUAACAUCUAGCAAUUGCUAGGGAAAGGAAAAUUACUAUUGGCACCAUCGAGGAUAUUCAAAAAAGCUUCAGAUACGCACUAUUUCCCAUUGGAGAAUGAACCAACUAAGAAGUUGAGUUCAAAACGAAGCAAAGCUUUGACUAGCUGGUGGAACAAAAGCAAAACUCCUAACUUUCUCUCUCUUCUCUCCCUUUUCUCUCUAUUCCUUCUUGAAGACAAAACCCUAGAUCUGGUUUUCUAGGUGGCCAACGGCCGUGUUUCGCCGUCGGCUCCGCCUCCGGUUCCGUGUUCUCUUCUUCUUCUUCUUUAGAGGGUUUGAGGUUUCUCGGUCCGGUGUGGGUGUGGAAGCUUGGGUUAGGGGUCCAGAUCUAGGUGUCGAAGUGGAGUCUGUCUCUCUUUUACGCCCUUCAUCCUCCUUCUCGGCGAGGGUGUGCUCCUCUGGUGGGCCUGUUCCGGUGGGGAGCUAAGUGGUUACGGUCUAAGGGAGUGUUUGCUUGAUAUCGCCUCUUGUCUCUGUCCUGGUUCUUUUAGAUCUGUCAGUUGGAUAUCACGGUGGUUCGUCUGGUGAAGUCAUCGUUUCCGGCAGGGCAGUGCAGAUCCACUUCGGGUUCUCCGAUGUGGAGGCGCGUGAGACCAAGGAUCUGUGGCUUUGUCAUCGUGGGUCCUCGUUCUGUGGCGGCAUGUUCGGUUCUAGCCAGCUUCAGGGGCUUGCUCUUGACUGCUCUUUGUGGAGUGGUGCUGGUUGUGUCCGUCUGUUCAGUUUCAGGUGCGGUGGUGUGGCGCUUCUCGGCGAGUCAUCUUCUUCAAUAAAGACUCGGCAUUGGCUUGCAUGUAUGCUUGACCUCGGGGUUUACUGUCUGAUUGUGUUGGCUGCAGCUUAGGAAGUCUUAUGCAAGUUGUUCUUGGUUGAACCAUAUCUUAAAGAGCGGAUCAUCGGGUAAGCCAAUUUUUACCGGGUUCUGUCUUUCAAAUUAACUGGGCUCCUCCUUUUGCGGCAAGUAGUUUGUUCUGAUUUUGACGAGUCGAUUGAUUAGUUGUUCUCCUUGUUGUGUUGGUUCCUGUAUUGACUAGGUUAGAGGUCUUCUGUUUAGUUGCAUUUCAAUUUUUCUGUUUAUUGUGUCCUCUGUAUUUCUGUAAAAAACUUGAAAAUUGGCAACAAUA
This is a long non-coding RNA of Brassica oleracea var. oleracea, 1258 nucleotides long. RefSeq lists it as uncharacterized. NCBI's taxonomy places the organism in Eukaryota, Viridiplantae, Streptophyta, Magnoliopsida, Brassicales, Brassicaceae. The record is from RefSeq and is a predicted model, not a curated record. The transcript has 2 exons.